UUAACGGUUGUUGUCAGCUAUCGCAACAAGAUAAAUGUAUAAUACACUUAAAUUAAUAUAUAAAUGAUGAAAUGAAAAUAUAUUCAUCAACAGAAUCAUAAUUCAAAAUAUACAACUACGAUGAUCCAUUUAUAAAAGCAAAAUAUACGAUAAAAGUGUUUAAUAAUCCAAGAGUUGGAAUAUAUAAGUUUGAAAAAUAGUUCAAAAAUAAAAACAUUCCUAGAUUGUCUGAAGAUUCUUCAACCAAUACUUUUAGGUAAGGUCUUCAUUGCUUUCAUCUUCCCCUUGAUCAUUUGGUUCACCUGUAAAUUCAACAAGAACAACAAUAAUUAGAGGGUAGGAAAAAGAAAAAUAUUGCCUUCUCAAUAUCAUUAUUAUUGCACUAUAUAUUAACACCAAUAAAAUUAUACAAGUACUUAGAAGACAAAACAAAAGAUGAAAUUGGCAUUGCCACUUCAGAAAAUCAAGCUACAAAAAAGAACCAGAAGUCCAAGUAUGCAAAAUGUUACACCAAGAAAAUCACUAUCUUAUGUAAGUACGCAUUACUCAUUGAUGUGCACAACUAAUUCCGAUUAUCAAAUGUCUUUAUGUAAACUGGACAUCAUUAAGAAGAGGGGAGAGCAGAAAAAGUUACCCAAAAUCAAGUAUUAGAUUAAGUGCAUUAACUUAUAAUAUGACAGAUUGAUAAUUUAGUAGUAGUUUCAUGUUAAAUUGCGGCAUAAGCAACACAAGCUGAAAAAGAGAAAGGAUAUCUUGAUUGGUAUCCAGUUCAGUGCUUCAAACCCAAGCACUAAAUAUCAAUAAAUCCAUUCCAAGUAAGAAGUAAAGUUCAACAGAACAUCAACCAAGAAAACAAACUUUUAUUACUAAUGAAUGCCAUUUAUUAUGAAUAUCCCUAUUACAAAGAAAAGAUAUGGGAGUUUGACUUCAUUUUCUGGAUAUCCAAAUUGUUACAGAGGUUUAAAGAGCAUAUGGUCAAUAGCCAUAUGCACGUAGAGAUGGUACCACUACAGAUCAAUUACAAAAAACAUACAGCUCAACUUGUUUUAUCGGCAAUCACUAAUGUUACCUGUAACAUCUUGUUACCUGUAACAUCUUGCAUUUCAGUAGCAUGGAUAGUGCCAAGUGCAGUUAAUAAAAUACUAUGGUCCAACUAUGCCAACUCUAUUUUUGAGAGACACAUAUUGCGAAAAAGAUAAAUGAUCAAAGAUACUCGACCAGAUUGCCAACUCUAUUUUUUAAAGACUGAAUAAGCAAAAGAUACUCGACCAAAGAGACAAAGCAAGGCAGUUGGAACUGGACAGAACACCUCUAUUGUUUAGAGACACAGAUUGUGCACACAACAAAAGAGGAUGCAAGAGAGAUCAGUCUCUGUUUUUGAGAGACACAGAUGGCGCACACAACAAAAGAGGAUGCAGCAGAGAUCAGUCUUUGUUUUUGAGAGACACGGAUUGCGUCGCACACAAAAGAUGGCAUGUUGAUUGGUUGAAUAGCUACUUGUUGUGCGGACGAAGCUUCUCCUGGUGAACGAGCACACAAGGUUGCUAAAAUAUUAUGAUCAAUUUGCAAUCCUGAACGCUGAACAACUACUUAAAUAGAAAACAUAAAGAACAAACAAGAAAACUAACAACUACUUAAAGGGGAGACCUCUCUAUUAAUUUAUCGUGAAUGAACUAAAAUACUUAAUACAACUAGCUAAAUCUUUGUAUUAUGAGAUCUUGGUAGCACUCGCUCACAGAGUAAGAUAUAAAUAAAAAGAAAAUAAAAGCAUCAAGUCGCUAAAUUUGGUAGCUACAGAUUAUGUGAUGAGUUUCAAAAUGGGAGGCCUCAAGAAGCUCUCUGUCGAUGAAUGAGAGCAAAGAAGUAAGAAAAAAUAUCAGUUUUGAAGAAAACAAUCAGUUUUGUAACCUGUGGCAGUUACAAAGCUAAUAACCAAAUUACUUGAAGCCUUACGGUAAAAGUAGAAUUGUGAAAGAAAAGUUUCCAGUUCUCAAGUAGAUGACCCAAAUUGUCAGCAUGUCAGCUUAAAUAGUCAGAAACAGAUAUGAAAAGAAGCCUGAGAAAUCCAUAAGAGGUUUGAAGCAAAUAGCUAUGUACUAUCAUCCACUUACACUAAAGAAUGACCCAAGCAAAAUCUUGUCAAAUGUUUCUUAUUACUGAGUAUAUUCAUUAUUAUGCAUGUCUAUUAACUUUUGUAAGGCUGGGCAUGACAAUAUCAUGUUUUAGAAAAAUACAUCUAGCAUCACAUUUAUCCUUGCAGUUAUCACAUCUAUGGAUACAAUAAAGGACAGCUAAGACCAGUUAUAGGCAGCAAGGCAGAAUAACAAAACAAAGAUCAAGAUGACAAGGUUGCCUUUUUUUUUAUAAGGAUGUCAAGGUUGCUUUCUCUCUUUCUUUAUCAGUCAUAAAUAGUUUAGCAAAUGUGGAACCAAUUAAAAGCAGAACUUAUUACAUGCAGCACUCUUUGCUGUAUGUUGGUUUUGCUUCUUGGUGACGUCGACUCAAACUCAAUUCUGCUACUACCACUCAAAUUAAGUGGAAAUGAACUGAUUAUCCACCCCUUUUGUCCCACAUUACAUUUUUCUCAAGUAACUUUGUGUUCCUUGAUUUUUUUAGGACUAUACUUUCUCAUAGUUAUCUUGGUAAAUUAUACUACUACAAUCUCUUCAACUAUCAGAAAAUAUUUAAAAAGUAGGAUGGAGAAAAUCUAUAUCUAAAAGUAAUUUUUUUGCGAGGCAUAUAUUUUGAUGUCAAAUUAUCAAUUGUCAAAUACACUUCUUGAUUUCAGCAGCAUAAAUAAUUCAACUCUAUAUCGCAGUUUCCCAACACAAGAUGUUCUCCUCAUACAUGGUAUUCUUCAUACCCGCCUCACUAAUUUUGGGCGAAAUACACAUAAAAUUUGGGCAAAAUAUGCAUAAACUUUGAGAACCCAUUUCAAGAACCAAUUUUUGCGACUUUGUAUCAUAGUAACAAAGGCAGAGGCUUUUGAUUGUAAACUACGUGUAUUUAUACAAGCGAACAGAAAAUCACUAAAAUCAGCACCUAAACAAACCCAAUUGCACACUGAAGAUAACAAAUAUAGAGCAGCUACCCCAAUAAUUUAUUCCCAAUUUGUCUUUUACUUGACAAAUAAAUAAAUUAAUAAAUAAGUAUAUAACAUGAAUCUUACCUAGUGUAAAGGGAGAUGAGACUUAAGUUAGCUUCAAACUGGAGAGGCCUCAAGAAGCUCUCUGUUGAUGAAUGAGAGCAAAAAUUUAAGAAAACAAAUCUGUUUUUGAAGAAAAAGAGAGUUGGUAGAGAAGAACCUCUUAAUCUCUUGGAUUUUCCCGUAAGCCUUUCUCGGUGGUAAUCUUGAGUGUGGACGGCAGCUCUUGUUUAGGGCUUGUAUUAACUUUAGGCUUUUUGUUUUUUGUAUCUGUGUUAGGACUUUUACUUUUUCUUUUUCUUUUUCUUUUUCCUUGAGACGCUUAGCGUGAUAAAGUUAGAAGAAGGUAAAAUAGGGAGGGAAAGUAAAACCGACCCACUAGCCCUUUUUUUCAAGAACCGUUGCCAAAGAUGCCUCUGUUGCAACGGAUUAGAACACCGUCCCAAUACAUCAAUCUACAGCGACGGUUUUUGUCCUAAUGCAACGGUUUAUUUUACUACCUAUCUCAGUAGGUCUCA
RNAcentral lists this long non-coding RNA (3663 nucleotides) under Nicotiana tabacum (common tobacco). Its description in RNAcentral is "long non-coding RNA (NTAB_LNC015797)". Lineage: Eukaryota; Viridiplantae; Streptophyta; Magnoliopsida; Solanales; Solanaceae. The record is from RNAcentral.